AUCCAGUUGACGAGUCCCAAAUAGGACGAAACGUGUGUCAAACUGUAU
RNAcentral lists this non-coding RNA (48 nucleotides) under Schistosoma mansoni. Lineage: Eukaryota; Metazoa; Platyhelminthes; Trematoda; Strigeidida; Schistosomatidae. The record is from RNAcentral.